This 465-nucleotide ribosomal RNA is filed under the name uncultured bacterium. RNAcentral's name for it is "bacterial SSU rRNA". It matches the Rfam family "Bacterial small subunit ribosomal RNA", at positions 917 to 1382 of the family's 1533-position model. The record is from RNAcentral.
GGACCCGCACAAGCGGUGGAGCAUGUGGUUUAAUUCGAAGCAACGCGAAGAACCUUACCAAGUCUUGACAUCCUCUUGACAGGUCCGUAAUGGGACUCUCUCUUCGGAGCAAGAGUGACAGGUGGUGCAUGGUUGUCGUCAGCUCGUGUCGUGAGAUGUUGGGUUAAGUCCCGCAACGAGCGCAACCCUUAUCCUUAGUAGCUAGCAGUUUGGCUGAGCACUCUAGGGAGACUGCCAGGGAUAACCUGGAGGAAGGUGGGGAUGACGUCAAAUCAUCAUGCCCCUUAUGACUUGGGCUACACACGUGCUACAAUGGCGUAAACAAAGUGACGCAAAGCUGUGAAGCCAAGCAAAUCACAAAAAUAACGUCUCAGUUCGGAUUGUAGUCUGCAACUCGACUACAUGAAGCUGGAAUCGCUAGUAAUCGCAGAUCAGAAUGCUGCGGUGAAUACGUUCCCGGGUCUU